GAUGAACGCUGGCGGCGUGCCUAAUACAUGCAAGUCGAGCGAACGGACGAGAAGCUUGCUUCUCUGAUGUUAGCGGCGGACGGGUGAGUAACACGUGGAUAACCUACCUAUAAGACUGGGAUAACUUCGGGAAACCGGAGCUAAUACCGGAUGAUAUUUUGAACCGCAUGGUUCAAAAGUGAAAGACGGUCUUGCUGUCACUUAUAGAUGGAUCCGCGCUGCAUUAGCUAGUUGGUAGGGUAACGGCUUACCAAGGCAACGAUGCAUAGCCGACCUGAGAGGGUGAUCGGCCACACUGGAACUGAGACACGGUCCAGACUCCUACGGGAGGCAGCAGUAGGGAAUCUUCCGCAAUGGGCGAAAGCCUGACGGAGCAACGCCGCGUGAGUGAUGAAGGUCUUCGGAUCGUAAAACUCUGUUAUUAGGGAAGAACAUAUGCGUAAGUAACUGUGCACAUCUUGACGGUACCUAAUCAGAAAGCCACGGCUAACUACGUG
RNAcentral lists this ribosomal RNA (497 nucleotides) under uncultured bacterium. RNAcentral describes it as "partial 16S ribosomal RNA". It matches the Rfam family "Bacterial small subunit ribosomal RNA", at positions 28 to 507 of the family's 1533-position model. The record is from RNAcentral.